RNA transcript from Cinclus cinclus, 1755 nucleotides. It is a transcript of the gene named ubiquitin conjugating enzyme E2 G1, with no coding region annotated. The record is from RefSeq and is a predicted model, not a curated record. Lineage: Eukaryota; Metazoa; Chordata; Aves; Passeriformes; Cinclidae. The transcript is spliced from 7 exons.
AAUUCCUGGCGGGGGGAGCGGGAGGUGGCGGCGCUGAGGGCUCGGAGCAGGAGGCGGAGGGCGGCUCGGAGCCACGGCCGCGCUGCCCUGCCCGGGACCCUGCGUGCUGUGGCGGCCGGCGCCGAGCCAGACCCCCGGCGGGUGCGGAGCGGACGGGCUGAGGGACGCUCGCCGCCACCUCUCGCAGCGCCAGGAGCCGCGCCGUCCCCGCCGCCGCUGGGACUCCCUCCCCGGGCAGAGCGGGGGAGAAUGACGGAGCUCCAGUCCGCCUUGCUACUGCGGAGACAACUAGCAGAGCUCAACAAAAAUCCAGUGGAAGGCUUUUCAGCGGGCUUAAUAGAUGACAAUGACCUUUAUCGAUGGGAAGUCCUUAUUAUUGGUCCUCCAGAUACACUAUAUGAAGGUGGUGUUUUCAAGGCUCAUCUUACUUUUCCAAAAGACUACCCACUGAGGCCGCCAAAAAUGAAAUUCAUCACAGAAAUCUGGCAUCCAAAUGUUGACAAGAAUGGUGAUGUCUGCAUUUCAAUUCUUCAUGAGCCUGGAGAAGACAAAUACGGCUAUGAAAAACCUGAGGAACGCUGGCUUCCCAUUCACACAGUGGAAACUAUAAUGAUUAGUGUUAUUUCUAUGCUGGCAGAUCCCAAUGGUGAUUCUCCUGCUAAUGUUGAUGCAGCGAAAGAAUGGAGAGAAGACAGAAAUGGAGAAUUUAAAAGAAAAGUUGCCCGCUGUGUAAGAAAAAGCCAAGAAACUGCUUUUGAGUGACACUUAUUCAGCAGCUAGUAGCUUCACUUUUUUCAGGGUGAUGAGUUUGGAUUUAUCCAUCUUCUGUUCAGAGGUCUCCAAUUGAGAAACAUGGCACUGUUUUUUUUCCUGCACUCUACCCACCUAUUGCUGGACUUCUGUUGUUACAAGUUGGCAAACACUGGCUGGAACUGGGCUGCAAUAAAAACAUGCCAGUUAUCAAUGCUGACAAGAGCCUAACAAGUGCCAACACAAGAUGAUUACGCAUUUUGAAAUCUAAUGAACUGCUUUAACCUUCAGGAAGAAUUGUAAAGAUGUGUACAUAGCACAACAUGAUCCGGAUAAUAUAUAUACUGUUCAUGUACAUCCACAAAUACACAUUGUACCAAAUAAUGCUGUCUGUAGUUAGGGAUAGAAUUGUGUAAAUUCUAAAGAUUUUAGCAGGUUUUUUUCUCUCCCUGUUCAUUGUUUCCUGAGUUAAAAAAAAGCAAAAAAAAAAAAACAAAAAACAAACAGCAACUUGUGAAGCAUGUCAAAACCAAUUAGGAUACUGAGUUGGGUUUUUUGUUUUGUUUUUUUUUUCCCUCCCACUUUAAUUUUCCUUUGACCCACCGAGGCUUAAUUAAAAUUUCUUGCUUAUUAAAGUUUAGUAUCUCCUUUUUUUUUGUUGUUGUUGGUUUUUUUUGUUGUUUUUUUUGUUGUUGUUUUGGUUUGGUUUUUUUUUGGGUUUUUUUUGUUUGUUUGUUUUUGGGUUUUUUUUGGUUUUUUUUUGUUUUUUUUUUGUUUUGUUUUGUUUUUGUUUUUGGAAAUGUGGUCCCUUUUAUUUGCCCCAUCAGAACUUAAAAUUCUCCUGAUUAAACCCUGAAAGGAUUUGCUAUCAAUUACUUGUGUCUUCUUUUAUGACCUUUGUAGUCUCAAAGGUGCUUUUUUUUCUUCACACCCUGUUUUAAAACCCAAUUAUUCAUCUUUCUUGAAUUUGGUAUAGCAAUAAAACUGGCCAUGGAGCACCCUUGA